GACGAACGCUGGCGGCGUGCCUAAUACAUGCAAGUCGAGCGAAGUUUUUCUGGUGCUUGCACUAGAAAAACUUAGCGGCGAACGGGUGAGUAACACGUAAAGAACCUGCCUCAUAGACUGGGACAACUAUUGGAAACGAUAGCUAAUACCGGAUAACAGUAUUUCUCGCAUGAGAGAUAUUUAAAAGUUGGUUAUGCUAACACUAUGAGAUGCUUUGCGGUGCAUUAGCUAGUUGGUGGGGUAAAGGCCCACCAAGGCGACGAUGCAUAGCCGACCUGAGAGGGUGAUCGGCCACACUGGGACUGAGACACGGCCCAGACUCCUACGGGAGGCAGCAGUAGGGAAUCUUCCGCAAUGGGCGAAAGCCUGACGGAGCAACGCCGCGUGAGUGAAGAAGGAUUUCGGUUCGUAAAGCUCUGUUGUUAGGGAAGAAUGGAUAUGUAGUAACUAUACAUGUAAGAGACGGUACCUAACCAGAAAGCCACGGCUAACUACGUG
RNAcentral lists this ribosomal RNA (498 nucleotides) under uncultured bacterium. RNAcentral's name for it is "partial 16S ribosomal RNA". It matches the Rfam family "Bacterial small subunit ribosomal RNA", at positions 28 to 507 of the family's 1533-position model. The record is from RNAcentral.